UAUAGUGGAGCUCCUGUACCUAAAUAUAAACAGUACUGGCACCCAAAAUGAGUAGACCUACCGGCACCUAUUUCAGCUCAAGUCAAGCACUGCAGGUAUUGUUGUGGCAAAGAUGCGUCCGUAGCAGAUUAGCCAGCUUUAUAUGGAUAAUAUUAAUGCAGGUAUGCUACUCUGUUUUUGCCAGGCAAAACCAUAGAAAAUUAAACAAGCGCUUUCUGGUCACYGAUGUGGAUAUGUGCACCCGCUUUUGCGCGCUAAUGCUGAUGAUUGGUCAACAGUCAAGACGGGAAACUUUUUGUUUCUGAAGCACAAAUUAGAUGUUUUUAAAAUAAGAAUUUUGUGCAAUGCCCUAGACCUACAUUAGUAUCCACAUCAUAUAACCAAAUCUACAAAUAUAAAAUACAAAUGGUAAUCUAGCCUAUACUGUAUGUAGCCUAUUCAAAUAUGUAUCAAAAUAAUUAUAGGCCUACUCGCAACCUCCCAAAACCUUCACUGCUCUAGCUCUCAACCUGUGUUGAUUGACAGUUUGCUGGUCCAAUCAGAGGGUUGAGUGUGUGUUUCACUAGCCAGUCUGUUUUGUUUGCAAGUGCGAUACUGUCUCUGGGUGCCAGGAGAGUAAUCCACGGAGACUCCGUGCCACAAAAGGAUUGACAAAACGUUACAAAAUCUGKUCAGAUUAAUUUCAAGUCAAAGUGGAGUCUUGAGGCGUCAAGCCUGACUUCAGUCAGACUCCAGUCCAUGUUAUGUGACUCGAGUCCACAUCUGAUUAUUACACGUCCAUUUACCACUAUGAAUAUUCUGAUGUGAAUCAAAAAUAUGCAUUCUCAGAGUUCUGUCACGCUACCAAGUGAUUCGUACAUUUGUAGAAAGACGUUCGCAAGUAAAAUGGUUUGAGCAGAUCUGGAGGACCUUUUUACUCCUGGCCAAUCAGCUAAAACCACAGCCGCCUAUUGCUCCAACCAUUGGCUGGAUUGUUCCAUCAGUCAAAUCUCAGGAAUUAGCUUGAAGAGGAAAAGAGAAGUCAUUUCUACAAAGUAACAACGUUACUUAAUCCUCGGCCUGAAGUACUAGAAUAAAACAAUCUACUUGAAGGAGCCUGGUGGAGAUACAGUAGAUACAACCACACUCCAAGGCAGGAGUCCUGCAGGCCAUUUCCCUGCAUCCAGGUUUAGACCUGCUACCAGCAGGAACAUGGAGCACUCCAUGUCAGUGUCAGUGCUACAGAGAGAAUAUUCCAAGGACCACCAAAGCCUUCUGACCAACAACCUGCAAUCUCUCCAGAGUAGAGAAGUGAGUCUGYUGGGCCAUGGAACUCUAGAGCAGCACGUGUAAAAACCUGCCACCCUGUUGUCAGCCAUCAGCAGACAGUUAGUUCUCUGAGGAAGGAUGCAACUGUCAAGGCUUUUCAAUGACCAAAUGUAGGGGGGAGGGGGUCGAUCACCAAACACAAUAAAGUUUUGUAGUUUUGUCUACUCAUGUUCAUUUUUUWAAAUAAAAACAAUGUUUAAUCCAUAUAAUUGUAUUUUUAAAUGUUGCGAUAUGCCUGGCUGGGCCUGCUGCUUUUCACAGCGCACGCUGCCCAAAUUGCGGGCCCUUCCGACUGUAGGCUAUGUGAUUAUUUUUUUUUUU
This is a non-coding RNA of Salvelinus sp. IW2-2015, 1629 nucleotides long. NCBI's taxonomy places the organism in Eukaryota, Metazoa, Chordata, Actinopteri, Salmoniformes, Salmonidae. The record is from RefSeq and is a predicted model, not a curated record.